RNAcentral lists this ribosomal RNA (501 nucleotides) under Triticum aestivum (bread wheat). RNAcentral's name for it is "partial small subunit ribosomal RNA". Lineage: Eukaryota; Viridiplantae; Streptophyta; Magnoliopsida; Poales; Poaceae. The record is from RNAcentral.
AUGAAUGUUGCUGUGCUGGCUGGAGUUUCCCUUCACUGGCUGCUUGCUGGGAAUUUCAAUGGCAUUCUUGAGUUUGAUUUAGCUUCGAUACGGCUGCCAGACGAGGUCAGCUGCUGGAAGCUUAUGCGGGCAGAGGGCGGUGGGCUUGGUUUCCUUGGGAUGUCAGGCUCAAACUGUAACAUCCAGUUAUGGAAGAGGAAGGCCAAUUGUGAUGGUGUUGCUUCAUGGGUGCUUGGAAGGACUAUUGAUCUGGAGAAUAUACUUCCCCUGAAACCAGAGGAGAAAGGGGCCAUUGCGAUACUAGCGCUUGCUGAAGACAAUAAUGUGUUGUUGCUGUGGACAAUUAUCGGCCUCUUCGUGGUCGAUCUUGAGUCAUUAAAGUUCAAGAAGCUUUUCGAAACUAUGAUAGUUUCUCACUAUUAUCCAUUCGAAAGUGUCUACACUGCAGAAACAGACAUUGGUGGUGGACAUGAUGGAGCUGAUCUUUUGCACAAGACAUAA